CAGCCGCCACGGUAAUACAGAGGGUGCGAGCGUUAAUCGGAUUUACUGGGCGUAAAGCGUGCGUAGGCGGCUUCUUAAGUCGGAUGUGAAAUCCCUGAGCUUAACUUAGGAAUUGCAUUCGAUACUGGGAAGCUAGAGUAUGGGAGAGGAUGGUAGAAUUACAGGUGUAGCGGUGAAAUGCGUAGAGAUCUGGAGGAAUACCGAUGGCGAAGGCAGCCAUCUGGCCUAAUACUGACGCUGAGGUACGAAAGCAUGGGGAGCAAACAGGAUUAGAUACCCCAGUAGUCCCUGUCUCUUAUAA
RNAcentral lists this ribosomal RNA (301 nucleotides) under uncultured bacterium. Its description in RNAcentral is "partial 16S ribosomal RNA". It matches the Rfam family "Bacterial small subunit ribosomal RNA", at positions 509 to 809 of the family's 1533-position model. The record is from RNAcentral.